RNAcentral lists this ribosomal RNA (380 nucleotides) under uncultured eukaryote. RNAcentral's name for it is "partial 18S ribosomal RNA". It matches the Rfam family "Eukaryotic small subunit ribosomal RNA", at positions 592 to 976 of the family's 1831-position model. The record is from RNAcentral.
CAAUAGCGUAUAUUAAAGUUGUUGCGGUUAAAAAGCUCGUAGUUGGAUUUCUGCUGAGAACGACCGGUCCGCCCUUUGGGUGUGUAUCUGGCUCUUUCUUGGCAUCUUCUUGGUGAACGUUGCUGCACUUGGCUGUGUGGAGCGCUACCCAGGACUUUUACUUUGAGGAAAUUAGAGUGUUUCAAGCAGGCAUACGCCUUGAAUACAUUAGCAUGGAAUAAUAAGAUAGGACCUCGGUUCUAUUUUGUUGGUUUCUAGAGCUGAGGUAAUGAUUAAUAGGGAUAGUUGGGGGCAUUCGUAUUUAACUGUCAGAGGUGAAAUUCUUGGAUUUGUUAAAGACGGACUACUGCGAAANCANNNGCCAAGGAUGUUUUCAUNGA